UGGUAAAUAACAUGCAAAAGAAAAGAAAUAGAAAACCACAUUUUCACAUAUAUCAUGCUGAUGCGAAAUAAUCACAUGUAAUCAUCUUGCAAAGUAGCAAAUAUAAGGAGAAGAAAUACCAUAGAAAGAGAAGUAAACAGGCAACAUUUCUUUAAGGCAAUGCACACAUAUGCCGAAAUAAGCAAGUUCUGUAAACUAUUAUAUUAUCACGGACAAGCCAAAAGCUCCACAUAUAAAUAAAUAAAUAAG
RNAcentral lists this unclassified non-coding RNA (249 nucleotides) under Hevea brasiliensis (rubber tree). The record is from RNAcentral. Lineage: Eukaryota; Viridiplantae; Streptophyta; Magnoliopsida; Malpighiales; Euphorbiaceae.